UGGGGAAUAUUGCACAAUGGGGGAAACCCUGAUGCAGCGACGCCGCGUGAACGAAGAAGGUAUUCGUAUCGUAAAGUUCUGUCCUAUGGGAAUAUAAUGACAGUACCAUAGAAGAAAGCUCCGGCUAAAUACGUGCCAGCAGCCGCGGUAAUACGUAUGGAGCGAGCGUUGUCCGGAAUUAUUGGGCGUAAAGGGUACGCAGGCGGUUUAAUAAGUCGAAUGUUAAAGAUCGGGGCUCAACCCCGCAAAGCAUUGGAAACUGAUAAACUUGAGUAGUGGAGAGGAAAGUGGAAUUCCUAGUGUAGUGGUGAAAUACGUAGAUAUUAGGAGGAAUACCAGUAGCGAAGGCGACUUUCUGGACACAAACUGACGCUGAGGUACGAAAGCGUGGGGAGCAAACAGG
Molecule: ribosomal RNA, 403 nt
Filed under: bacterium
Lineage: Bacteria
Description: partial 16S ribosomal RNA
Rfam family: Bacterial small subunit ribosomal RNA
Source: RNAcentral